GACGAACGCUGGCGGCGUGCUUAACACAUGCAAGUCGAACGGAAAGGCCCUGCUUUUGUGGGGUGCUCGAGUGGCGAACGGGUGAGUAACACGUGAGUAACCUGCCCUUGACUUUGGGAUAACUUCAGGAAACUGGGGCUAAUACCGGAUAGGAACUCCUGCUGCAUGGUGGGGGUUGGAAAGUUUCGGCGGUUGGGGAUGGACUCGCGGCUUAUCAGCUUGUUGGUGGGGUAGUGGCUUACCAAGGCUUUGACGGGUAGCCGGCCUGAGAGGGUGACCGGCGACAUUGGGACUGAGAUACGGCCCAGACUCCUACGGGGGGCAGCAGUGGGGAAUAUUGCACAAUGGGCGGAAGCCUGAUGCAGCAACGCCGCGUGCGGGAGGACGGCCUUCGGGUUGUAAACCGCUUUCGCCUGUGACGAAGCGUGAGUGACGGUAAUGGGUAAAGAAGCACCGGCUAACUACGUG
This 468-nucleotide ribosomal RNA is filed under the name uncultured bacterium. RNAcentral describes it as "partial 16S ribosomal RNA". It matches the Rfam family "Bacterial small subunit ribosomal RNA", at positions 28 to 507 of the family's 1533-position model. The record is from RNAcentral.